GUGCUUGCUUUGGCAGCACAUAUACUAAAAUUGAAAUGAUACAAAGAUUAGCAUGGCCCCUGUGCAAAGAUGACAUGCAAAUUUAUGAAGCAUUCCAUAUUUUA
Molecule: small nuclear RNA, 104 nt
Organism: Suncus etruscus (white-toothed pygmy shrew)
Lineage: Eukaryota; Metazoa; Chordata; Mammalia; Eulipotyphla; Soricidae
Source: RefSeq, a predicted model, not a curated record